AGUGAACGCUGGCGGCAUGCCUAACACAUGCAAGUCGAACGGCAGCACAGUAGGUGGUUGCUCGUGCGGGGGGCGGGAGGGGGGCGGGAUAGGAAGGCAUAGGUACUGACGUUGUCGAGAGGGAGGAGGAAGGGAGAUUUAUGCUGCUACCGCAUACGGCAUAAGAGUGGAGGCAGGGGAGGUUCGGACCUUGCGCGAUUGAAUGUGCCGAUGUCGGAUUAGCUAGUUGGUGGGGUAAAGGCCUACCAAGGCGACGAUCCGUAGCUGGUCUGAGAGGAUGAUCAGCCACACUGGAACUGAGACACGGUCCAGACUCCUACGGGAGGCAGCAGUGGGGAAUAUUGGACAAUGGGCGCAAGCCUGAUCCAGCCAUGCCGCGUGGGUGAAGAAGGCCUUCGGGUUGUAAAGCCCUUUUGUUGGGAAAGAAAAGCAGCACGUUAAUACCGUGCUGUUCUGACGGUACCGAAAGAAUAAGCACCGGCUAACUUCGUG
RNAcentral lists this ribosomal RNA (492 nucleotides) under uncultured bacterium. RNAcentral's name for it is "partial 16S ribosomal RNA". It matches the Rfam family "Bacterial small subunit ribosomal RNA", at positions 30 to 507 of the family's 1533-position model. The record is from RNAcentral.